Non-coding RNA from Pelobates cultripes (western spadefoot toad), 241 nucleotides. Lineage: Eukaryota; Metazoa; Chordata; Amphibia; Anura; Pelobatidae. The record is from the annotation of a GenBank genome assembly.
CAAACAAACUGGACUCAUGCCUGAGCUUGAGGGACUUCUUUCCAACCAAGUCACGCUAAAAGAAACAAGAAAAUAUGGUAAUUUCCAGAAAUCAAGGGUUGUCAGGUUAUAGAGGCUCGAUCGUCCGAUUAAACAUUGAUAGUAAUUCGUAAACUUAGCAAUUCAUAAACUUAGUAUGAAAAUGACAAUUAGUUUGCCGAUAACAGUGACAAAUAAAGCCCAUCAUUAAGUAGUACUCUAG